GAAGGAUUGGCAAAAUGGAUCCAUACCAAAACAGGACAUGCAGGAACUCAUGCUAUGUACAGCUUUACAGAUUGCUUUGCUUCUCAGGAUUGAUGAUUACCGUGUUUGCCUGGACACCAGGAUUCCCCCUCCAAA
Molecule: long non-coding RNA, 135 nt
Organism: Fukomys damarensis (Damara mole-rat)
Lineage: Eukaryota; Metazoa; Chordata; Mammalia; Rodentia; Bathyergidae
Exons: 2
Source: RefSeq, a predicted model, not a curated record